UUGCCGCUACUCCGUCUCCCCGGCUGCAGUUCUACGCCUCCAUCCCUUGCCACUCCACAUCCCCCAUCCCCAAAUCGCUUUCGUCAACAGACACCCGUCGCCGCCGCCAUCGACGAGGUUACCUUCAUCGCCGCCACCACAGCACGAUGCCUCGCCAUCAUCUCCAUGCCCCCAUCAGUCGCAUCCACUGAUCAAAUAGUAGGACCUACAAACUGGUUAUACACUCAAAAACUGAGCAGGCAAGAUCGGUGAGAGCCAAACCGGAUUCAAACUCCCAAGCAAAGAAGGGCACCUCUGCAUCAGUUCCAUAGUCACACGAUACGCAACAGAUAGAGAUUUUCCCAUCAGAUGAGUAGACAAUGUUGCGAACCUCCCCAGACCAUUCUGCAAAAUGCCACCCCCCGACGCACCCUGCCAUUUUUCUGCUGGACGCUCCCUUUCCAGCUCGGUUUCUCGC
This 457-nucleotide long non-coding RNA is filed under the name Triticum aestivum (bread wheat). RNAcentral describes it as "long non-coding RNA (TAES_LNC011160)". Lineage: Eukaryota; Viridiplantae; Streptophyta; Magnoliopsida; Poales; Poaceae. The record is from RNAcentral.